CACUUUGUCUCUAUGGCAAAUGUGAGAUGCAGUGUAUGGAAUGUCAAAUUUCUAGUAUGAGAAAUUAACGAUUUAAGUCCUUCUUAAAUGAGGCCAUUUACCCAUAGAGGGUGCCAGGCCCGUAUAACGUUAAUGAUUACUAGAUGACAUUUCCAAAGAGUCGUGUUGCUUGAUAGUGCAGCACUAAGUGGGUGGUAAACUCCAUCUAAAACUAAAUAUAACCAUGAGACCGAUAGUAAACAAGUACCGUGAGGGAAAGUUGAAAAGAACUCUGAAUAGAGAGUUAAAUAGUACGUGAAACUGCUUAGAGGUUAAGCCCGAUGAACCUGAAUAUCCGUUAUAGAAAAUUCAUCAUUAUGAUUUUAAUAUAUAACAUAUAUAUUAUAAUAAUGGUGUGCAUUUUUUCUAUAAAGGACAUUGUAAUCUAUUAAUAUUAAAUUAAAUAUUUAUCAUAAGAUCAAUAUGCGUAAGUUUAUUCAAAUUAUUUUGCUUGCAAUUUAAUAUAGAAUAAAUGCUUUUGAUUUGAUAAAGUAUUGAUAGUUUUAUUAUAUAUAGUGCUUAAAUAAAUUUUUUAUUUUAUAAUGGCAUAUUAAUCAUUGAUUUUUAUGUUUAUUAUAUGCACUUAUAUGAUUAACAAUGCGAAAGAUUCAGGAUACCUUCGGGACCCGUCUUGAAACACGGACCAAGGAGUCUAACAUAUAUGCAAGUUAUUGGGAAUAAUAAACUUAAUAGCGAAAUUAACAUAACUUUUUAAUGGGAUUAGUUUUUAGUAUCUAUUUUUAAUAGUCUAUUAAUUCAAUCCCGGGGCGUUCUAUACAGUUAUGUAUAAUAAUAUUUAUAUUAUUUAUACCUCUAUCUAGAGCGUACCUUGAGCAUAUAUGCUGUGACCCGAAAGAUGGUGAACUAUACUUGAUCAGGUUGAAGUCAGGGGAAACCCUGAUGGAAGACCGAAACAGUUCUGACGUGCAAAUCGAUUGUCAGAAUUGCAGUAUAGGGCG
This 998-nucleotide ribosomal RNA is filed under the name Trichopoda indivisa. RNAcentral describes it as "eukaryotic LSU rRNA". It matches the Rfam family "Eukaryotic large subunit ribosomal RNA", at positions 120 to 925 of the family's 3401-position model. The record is from RNAcentral. Lineage: Eukaryota; Metazoa; Arthropoda; Insecta; Diptera; Tachinidae.